GCUGGGUGUGGUGGCUCAUGCCUGUAAUCCCAGCACUUUGGGAGGCUGAGGUGGGCGGAUCACCUGAGGUCAGGAGUUCAAGACCAGCCUGAUCAACAUGGUGAAAGUCCACCUCUA
This is a non-coding RNA of Gorilla gorilla gorilla (western lowland gorilla), 117 nucleotides long. It matches the Rfam family "Metazoan signal recognition particle RNA". From Rfam's summary of the family: The signal recognition particle (SRP) is a universally conserved ribonucleoprotein. It is involved in the co-translational targeting of proteins to membranes. Lineage: Eukaryota; Metazoa; Chordata; Mammalia; Primates; Hominidae. The record is from Rfam.